GACGAACGCUGGCGGCAUGCCUAACACAUGCAAGUCUAGGGGUAGCAAUACCACUGGCGCACGGGUGAGUAACACGUAGGUUAUCUGCCCCCAUCACAGACAUAACCCCGGGAAACCGGGGGCUAAUAUCUGAUGAGGUCGCGAGAUCAAAGCUUCGGCGGAUGGGGAUGAGCCUGCGGCUGAUUAGCUAGUUGGUGAGGUAAUGGCUCACCAAGGCGACGAUCAGUAGCUGGUCUGAGAGGACGAACAGCCACACUGGAACUGAGACACGGUCCAGACUCCUACGGGAGGCAGCAGUGAGGAAUAUUGGUCAAUGGGAGCAAUCCUGAACCAGCAAUGCCGCGUGUGGGAUGACAGGGCUUCGCCUUGUAAACCACUGUCGGACGGGACGAAAGGAGGCCUCGGGCCUCUGGGACGGUACCGUCAAAGGAAGGGUCGGCUAACUACGUGCCAGCAGCCGCGGUAA
RNAcentral lists this ribosomal RNA (466 nucleotides) under uncultured bacterium. Its description in RNAcentral is "bacterial SSU rRNA". It matches the Rfam family "Bacterial small subunit ribosomal RNA", at positions 28 to 523 of the family's 1533-position model. The record is from RNAcentral.